AAUAUGUGUUCUCCACUACACGGCUGUAGUGAACUGGGAGAAAUGCAGUUAUCCAUUCCUUGAGGAAUUCUGCUUGGAGAAGUGUUGCAUCAUCUUGGGCUUGUUCUGAUUUGGUGAUUGCAUAAAGCAAAGGGAUAAACUAGAUAACUACAAGGACUAUAUAUUUCCACACAGAUUUUACAGAUGACCUUAACCUCCUGUUCUCUACACAAAGGCAGA
RNAcentral lists this long non-coding RNA (219 nucleotides) under Lonchura striata (white-rumped munia). RNAcentral's name for it is "domestica (Bengalese finch) lncRNA (ENSLSDG00000017037.1)". Lineage: Eukaryota; Metazoa; Chordata; Aves; Passeriformes; Estrildidae. The record is from RNAcentral.